CCGGGGCUGGGAGCCCCUCUCUCCGGGGGCGGAGUUCCCGGCGGUCGGCGGCAGAUGGGGGAGGCCCCAGUGGGGCGCACGUGGAUGAAUUUCUGGGAGGAAACCAUGUACCAUCCGCUGUCGCUCGCUGCCAUCCAGUGUUUUCUCCCCCCAGUGAACAUAUGCAGGAUGGAGGUCAGGCGGGGUCGUCUUGGUCCACUGUGUUUGCCAGCCCAGAGGGAAAGUCUCCAGACACUGCCUUUUGAGUUGCCUGUUACAGAGACAAGAGACGGGGAGCCUGCAUACCAACUAUUACGAUGAAGCUGUGUAGCCUUAAGCAAGCCACUGCACCCCUCUGUGCCUUGGUUUCCUAAGCGAGAGACUGAGAAUGAUGAUCCCUGUGUCCAGGCCUGGAAAGACUGAGAAAGGUACCCUAUACAGAAAAGCACCUAGCGUACAGGGCAGACUGUUGAUCAGGAAAAAGAGCCUCCCUUGAGUGUCUGUGGUCAGCGAACUUGGCCUGGGGGCCCAGGGCAGGAGCCUUCAGAAUCAGCGCACUGCCUGGCCACCCCCGCAGCCUGUGAUCCCCGGCCAGGCACUCCGAUCCUUCAGCUGUCAACGCAAGCACACUCCAGUGCUUUCUGCUUUGCCUUUGGUCUCCCCCAGGAAGUUUGGAACACGACUGAGAUCAUCAUUGUCAAGCUCUCUGAGCUUCUGGUGCAAGGCCAGCCUGAUAAGGCCCACCCAGGUGCCACCCUCCACUUCAUCCCCACCCCCAGCUCCACCUUCCUGAUCUCUGGCUCCUGCGUGGCUGUGGUUGUGGGCUCAGAACAAGAUUGAGUUUCUGCUUUCCUCCUCCUCCCUCCUCCUCCCUGGGGGCUGGGAAGGAGCCCACACUCUAAGGAAGAACUCUGUCCCUUACAGGUUGAAGAAAGAAAGUAGUGCCUGUGGGGGCCCAGGUUGUGUGGGGCCCAGAACCAUCCCCAACACCUAGCACAGCCCUGGCUCAUAGUAGACUCAUAAAAUGAAUGAAAUUGAUUUAAUGUCAGGACUAGGGAUUCACUCAUUCACGCUUUACGACUCUAAAGAAGCUGUUGUUAUUCUAUUUUAUAGAAAGGGCAACUAAAACACAAAAUCACCAAGCCAGGAAGUGGCAAGACUGGGAUUUAAAUCCAGAGCAAUCCCGGGAUAGAGCUCUUGUGUCUUCCCCUGCAGCCCAGGACUGGGCACCCUGACCGUGAGCAUCACUCUGCAACAGUCUGGGUUGUUGUAGGGCCUCCCGGAGCCCACGGCAGGGAAGGGGCUGGGUGCCUGCGGUGCUGGCCCUGCCUCCUCCUUCCCCUCUGGACUUGGGUUGGCCCCUCUGUUUCCGGGCCCUGUGCCACUGGCAUUGCCCUCGAGCUCUGGGCCCUAGGCUGUGCCACCCCCAGGCAGAUCUUCAGCCCCCAGGCCUCUGCCCCACUGGGGGCUUUGAGGAUGAGGUCACAUGCCUUGGACCUGUCUCCCCUCAGGUCUCAGGACCCUUCACCUGCGCUGCUCCCCUGCCCUCUGACCCUUGAGCAAGGCGGGCAUCCUGCAGGGAUCCCACAUCCGACCCCGACAAGGAGCGGAGCCCAGGGAGAGAGAACCAGGUUUUGCUCUCCUGCCAUGUACCAGCUCUAUGACCCCGGGCAAUUAUGUCCACUUCUCCAGGCCCCAGGUUCUUCAACUGGAAAAUGCGGAUAGAAAAAAAUCCAUGCCUAACUCCCAGGGCUGUCAUGAGGAUCAAUUAAGGCAAAAGCUGGAAAGCACUUUACAAAUUCUCCACUUCCUCUUAUUCUCCGCCUUUUCCUGAGGGCCGAUCCCCAGCUCUCCUUCCUCAUGUCCCUGCUCGCCUGGCCUGAUGUGCAUGUGAUCAUCGAUCCAGGGUCUGACCCCCGAGGACUGCAGGUGCCUCCCAGCCUUCCCUUCAUGAAGAACAGCACGACACCAUUUAAAAACCUAGAGAAGGCCUCACGGAAGUCCACACCGCUGUCUGAUUGCAUGUUAAGCCCCUGGAGCCAGAGACCCCAGUUCUCUGUGAUUCUCAAGGAAUCAGGCCCAGAAAGCCACCAGUGGGAGGCGGUGGCCAGGCCAGCCUCCUUGAGGAGAGGAAAGGCAUCCACAAAGCUGACUCUGGAGUUUCACAGGUACCAUCGUAAAGAGGAGAUAAAUCACCGCGGACGUCAGAGAAGGAAAAGACCCUUUCCAGAUGUGGAGAACCCAGGGAGAAAUCCUCUUCCUUUCUGCUCCCCUUCAACGCACCCACUUCGAGGGUCAGCUUAAAUGCCAUCUCUGAAACAGAGCUGCUCUGAUCUGCAUACGUGUGUGAACUCGUUCUCCUAAGGAAACACAGCACUCUGCAUGGACCCGCUCUGUGACACCUCGUGGGUUCUGUGUGGGAGUUUCGGACCGUUCCAUCUGUGCGCAGCUUUGCAUCCUGUCUGCAAUCGGGCUGUGUAAAUUCUUCCCAAACGGAGGCCAGGGUCUGCCAACUUUUGUAUUCCUCCCCCCACAACCUGCCACCCAGCCCCAGCUUCAUACCUGGUACUUAGUAGGUUCUGAAUUAAUGCUUGUUGAAGGAAAGAAAGGAGGAGGGAACGAGAGUAAGGAAGAAAGAAGA
Long non-coding RNA from Ailuropoda melanoleuca (giant panda), 2620 nucleotides. RefSeq lists it as uncharacterized. The transcript has 3 exons. NCBI's taxonomy places the organism in Eukaryota, Metazoa, Chordata, Mammalia, Carnivora, Ursidae. The record is from RefSeq and is a predicted model, not a curated record.